GUCAAGUCAUCAUGGCCUUGAUGUCCAGGGCGACACACACGCUACAAUGGCCGGUACAAUGGGCUGCGAAGGGGUGACUUGGAGCAAAUCCCAGCAAAGCCGGUCUCAGUGGGGAUCGGAGGCUGCAACUCGCCUCCGUGAACGCGGAGUUGCUAGUAACCGCCGGUCAGCACACGGCGGUGAAUACGUUCCCGGGCCUU
RNAcentral lists this ribosomal RNA (200 nucleotides) under uncultured organism. RNAcentral's name for it is "partial small subunit ribosomal RNA". It matches the Rfam family "Bacterial small subunit ribosomal RNA", at positions 1184 to 1382 of the family's 1533-position model. The record is from RNAcentral.